AUCUUUGUAAAUGAGGUGGGUCCAUAUCGUUUGAUGACUUCACGUUGAUUUUCAUGAUCCAACCACAACCCCAAUAGGGUGGACCAUCCUUAGGGAUCAGAAACACGCAUGCAUCAUGCAUCAUUAAAUAAUAAAAAACAUACAGGUUGGGCCAUCACACGCAUACAGGAUGGACCAUGCCAUCAGCUUUUCUCAAAGAAACUACAACGAUGAGGCCAUCCCAGAAAAAAAAGUUCUAAUGUGCCGAAACAAACCAAAACUAUCAUAUCUCUCUCCAAAUAGAAUAUGUGUCCAGACGGGAUCCAAAAAAACGUUCUUUCCAUCCCGCAAACAUGAGAAACUUAACCAUCCAUAUAAACCUUCCCCAUGACCUCAUAGGUUCAUUGUCCAAAGAUUUUAGGUUACAACUUCUACAUCAUCUUCCUCCCACAUCAUCUUCCUCCAGCGACUCAAACUUCGAGAUCAACUUCAGAAUUAGCACUUCGGAGUUGUCUUCCUCCAGCGGCCACAAGACAGCUCCAUCGAGCAAUUAGGCAACAUUAAGUAAGUUCUAUCUGAACAAAAUUAUAAAUCAUACCAAUUACUGGAUCGAUGAUGGUUCAAUUAUGCUCUAUGCAGUCCUCAUCUAAAAAUAUUUGACAUGUUACCUCAGAAAGUUGAUUAUAUAGAAUCCUAUAGGUGUGGCUUCAUGUCUUAAUGGUGUCAGGUUCUUCAUACUUUUUACCCAUCUACAGAAGGUAAUGCCAUGGAUGUUGCUCUCUACAAUAUAGAGAAACAUAUAUGGUGCAUCAGAUGGUGUUCAUAUUAUAGAUCAGACCUAUUGUUAUAGAUCAGACCUAUUAAUGGAUCAUUAAUACUUAGAUUAUACUGUAGGCAGUGCUAAUCUAAAAAGAUUUCAGGUGUUAGCUCACAAGUUUCAUUAUGUACAAACAUAUAUAGAGAAACAUACAUAGAUGGCUUCCAUGUUUGAUCAACCUCAGAUGCUAAUAGUGGUUUCCUGUCAUAAUGCCAGCAGCUCCAUCUGAAACAAGCAUAAAGAGCAAUUGUCAAUAAAAUUGUAGAAGAUACAUAGCAUGAUUGGAACAUAUAAACGUUCCCAAAAACACCUCCUUAUGAUUGACAUGUGGCUCUCUUACUCUUCAUGUCACAAAUAUGAUAUCACCUGUCAAAAUCAAAUAAAAAAUUGAUAUAUAAACAAGAGAAUAAAUUAAAUCACUAUAAAACAGACUAAAGGAAAACCUUCUGCUAUAAAACUUCUAGAUGGGUGCUGGCUUGGAUGUUCGGCAGAGUAGAAAUCAUGUACAUCGUCAACACACACCGCAUGGUGAUGCACAAGAUGCCCUGGUAAAGUAUAGAUUAUGACAUAAGAGGUUAUGGAUUUGUGGAAGUGUGUGCGUUUGAGAGAUAGAGCGAGAGAGAUGGUGCAUGUCAUGUUGAUUUCUAGGGAAACCUUAAGGAUUGACGUGACUGAACCUAAACAUGUGGGCCAGAAACAACACUUCCACGCUGAUAAGUCCAGGAUGGCCCAAAUUACAAGCACGUUGGAUUAGAAUUCAAUACAAAAACUCAUGUGAAAGAAUACCUUAAGUCGUACAGAACAAGGCUACAGAAAGAAAAGACAUGCCUAUAUAAACAACUGGCAUGCCAAGAAUAGACCUAAAACUCAAUCUGUUCUCAGCAGCACGAACAAAAUUGACAGAACAUACAAUUUCAAUUUGACGUACGGCAACAUAGUCAAACAGCUUUUCAAUUCAGGUAUAGUUCUUCUCCCUCUCUAUUAAUCCUCAAUUACAAUCUAAUUCUAGCGUGCUACUCAACUAUAUUUUGGGGUUGUGGGACGGCUUCCAUAGGGCUCAAGUCCAUUAACAAACAUAGGGCACUGCAAUAUGGAAUUCACAUGGAGUUUGUAGAUCAGAUGAUGGUUCCCAUUAUAUUUUGCAUCACUACCUCAUCAAUUUUGUCCAAAAAGAAAACCUCAUUAAUCAGGUAUAGAUUGCUUCAGUCAGCUUCUACUAAAAAUACUGUAUUUAUGUACCACGUGAUGAUUGGAACAUAAAAUCCUCUUUAUCAUUAAAAAUUUCUACAAAAUCACUAGUCUUGAAAAUUGAUCGCCUUUAAUUCUACGACAAAAAUAUACUUUAAAAGGUAAAAAGUAAUAAAAAUUAUGAAUCUUCAUAAACUUGAACACUAAUAUGUAAUCAACAAUAGACCUACCACUGUAACAAAUGGGGCAAAUGACCAACGUCUCAAGUGCCGGGGCAGGGUACUCCCCUGUACAACGACUACAUUGAUCUUUAUCGGCGUCCGUUGCCUCAGCAAACCACAAUUUCUAGGUCUGCCACUUUCUGAAACAAUAUUAUAAUAUCAUUCACUUUAGCUGUAUAUUUGCACUCUCCAUUAUGCAGGAAUACACAAUGAAAAGAAAAGGUGGGCCACAUACCAAGGAAUGUUAGAAACCUACCGAGAUGGUUUAAACAAAUCAAAUAUGCAAUCCAACAAGGUGAUCCGAUACUAAUCUUGAAUAUUUUAUAUCUGCUAUCACAGUAUAAUAUUAAAAAAAAGCAACUCCAGUUAUGCACUAAAAGUUCCUAACUGAUUUUAGCUUCGACUAGAAAAACAAUAUUUUAAAUUGUUAUCUUAUUGAUGCAAAUCCAGACAAUCAGCAAAAUCGCAAGAUUAGAAAGGAGAAUGACACUUCAAGAGAGAGAAACAGAAGGUCUUCAAUCAUACAUGGAGAUGUGCCAGGCUCCGCAGACACACAAAAAGGACAACCUUUGAUACAUGUGAAGUAAGAAAAUCUUUCACAUAGUUUCUCUCUUAUGCAUGUUAUCAUUCAUUUGGAUUAAUUACAUUCUCAAUUCAAAUGUUAAACUUUAAGAUCAAUGCCGCACGGUUGGUAUUACAGUAUACAGGAAGCAACAUUAUGUACCGUGCCUAUGCUAUACACAUCAACUAUGCAAUCUAUGUGCUAAAAUCUUUCUAAAUAGAGAAAAAUUACCUUCACUAACUUAGUGAUUAUAAAGACCACCCGCCCAUGCAUUUCCGCAUCUUCAAGCGUGGCAAAUUUGUAAUGGCCCACUAAAUCACAAUAAAAUGCUACAAGUAUCAAUGAACUGUAGCUAAGGCAAAGAAAUAUUUUAAAGUUAACACGAGGAGUAAUAAAUUCCUUCUGCCAAACGUAACGUAAUCUCUCACUUCUAAUAAUUAGUAUUUAUGUUUAUGCAGGGCAAGUAACUCAACAAAAAAAGCAAAAGACACAAGACUACAUAGGAAAAGAAAAAUGCAAACCAAGAGGGUUGCAGAACCAUCAACAAAAGAAGGAGAUUCGCCCGGCUGAUAAAACUAUGAGGUAUGCAAAAAAUAAAUUACAAUCAGCAUCUAAAAUUUGGAGAUUCGUGGACCUGAUAUUUUCUGUUAUGUGCGUGUACAACAAAAAAGUAAUAAAAUGUCUACUACAUCGAAAACAAUGAGAAAGAAAUAAAAAAAUUACAAGUUCUAUCAAGUUAACAUAUUAUCAACAACACCAGACAUUACUAACAUUUAAAUUUAUGCUAAAUACAUAAACUUGAACAGGGAAUCGGAGAGGACUGAUGUGGAAAUUUGGAACUUCGAAAAACCAAAAUGCAAGUGUUAACAAUGCGGUGCAAUUUUCUGGUACAAAGAAAGAACUUCAGGUAGAGCGAAAAGCAUGCCAUCUUUUGGACUAUGCUGCCAACAUGGCAAAGUUGAUUUGCCACCAUUAAGAGAUCCCCCGACUUACCUUGUGAAAUUGCUAAGGAAAGACAAUGGAAAGAGGUAAAAAACUGCUUGCAAAAUAUCAGAUUGUACAACUCCAUGUUUACUUUCACAACAAUGGGAGGAAAAGUAGACAAACAAAUAAACAAUGGCAUUGGGCCAUAUGUUCUUAGAAUGAAUGAGAAAAACUACCACAUAAUAGGUACUAUACUACCUAAAGGUAAAGAUAAACCACGGUGGGCACAAUUGUACAUCUAUGACACUGGAAAUAAGGUAUGAAACAGGAUUAAUACGCCGACAACAGAAGAUAAAAGGGAUUCAAUAGAUCCUCACAUCAUCGAGGGCCUUAAAAGUUGGCAUACCUGUGAUGCUACUACGUAAUAUCAACCAAAGUGCUGGAUUAUGCAAUGGUACAAGGAUGACAAUUAUUCAACUCGGAAGAAAAUUCAUCGAAGCACAGAUAGUAACCGGAACACAUGCAGGAGAAAAGGUAUAUAUUCAAAGAAUAGUCAUGUCACCAACUGAAUCAGCAUGGCCAUUUGUUCUAAAAAGGAGACAAUAUCCUACAUCAGUUUGCUUUGCUAUGACUAUCAACAAAAGCCAGGGCCAAUCUCUGAACAAGGUAGGACUAUAUCUACCUAAACAAGUUUUCACACAUGGACAGUUAUACGUAGCCUUCUCAAGAGUAACAAAAAGGGAGGGACGGCAUGUAAUGGUAGAUGAUGAAGAUAGCAAUCGGGAUGAUGUGGUCAAGAAUAUACUUUAUACAGAAAUAUUCUAAAGGUAUGAACAAAAACAGAAUUUCAGCAUGAUGUUCUUUCACAAGAUGAGGCCAGUGGACUAUUACAUAUGAAUUACAUAUAUAUGAACUUACUACACUGCAAAAUCUCUUACAAAGAAAGUCUGACUUAAGUAUGAACAGGUGGAAAGACUUCACAAGUGGAAAGUAAUGCAAACUUGCAUCAACAGGUGGAAAGACUUCAUAACCAAACAUCAGAAAUCUAUAUUAUGUGAUAUUUGAUUCUAUAAGCUUAUUAUUUAAUAAAAAAUAGUGAAAGCAUCAAGACGUUAUACUGCGUAUGUACAAUGCUAUCAGACAUGUUUUCAUAUUAAGCUAUUAUCUAUUAAUUUUUUUUGUGAAAUAUUGCAAAAAUGCAUCAAUAAUUGGAAAUAGUUACAUUUUUAAAAUGUACACUAACUUAUUACAACCUCCGUUCCUAAGUAUAAGACCUUUUAGGGAUUCCAUUAUGGACUACAUAUGGAGCAAAAUGAUUGAAUGUACACUCUAAAAUAUGUCUAUAUACAUCCGUAUGUAGUUCGUAUUGAAAUCUCUAGAAGGGCUUCUAUUUAGAAACGGAGGGAUUAGCGUCUACUCUGUACCUCAUUCAACACUUAUAGAUCAAUUAAAAAACACAUGAUAUUAAAAAAAUUAAGGAAAAAAAUAAGAAAUAUUUACAGCUAACAAGCAUUUCCUUAAGUACAUUAUAUUGGUUGAGUGGCACAAGUACAGGAAAAGGCUAAGAUAAAGGGGAAAUAUUACAGUUAGCAAAAGGAAAAAUAAAGACAUGCAGUUCAACUUGGAACAAUGUUGCCAUUGCAGGCCUACGGGAGAUGAAAUCCACAUCCACGACCAAAUCAACUGCACGGACGACAACUUCGACGGAAGCGUCCAAAUCGAUGAUCUCGCCUACUCCCUGGUGCAGUAAAUCCUUGGGCCCUGCUAACCCUCAAUUGCCGUCGAUGGUCACCCUGUCAAAGCAUCAGGUGCAGGUGUUGCUUCAGGUUAGGACGAGCAUCUUGAAUGCAGUGAAUCAAAAGAGCAACCUGAUGGGAGCUAUCCAA
RNAcentral lists this long non-coding RNA (5577 nucleotides) under Triticum aestivum (bread wheat). RNAcentral's name for it is "long non-coding RNA (TAES_LNC004391)". The record is from RNAcentral. Lineage: Eukaryota; Viridiplantae; Streptophyta; Magnoliopsida; Poales; Poaceae.